This is a regulatory RNA element of Clostridiales bacterium KLE1615, 96 nucleotides long. It matches the Rfam family "Glycine riboswitch aptamer". From Rfam's summary of the family: This family represents the bacterial glycine riboswitch. NCBI's taxonomy places the organism in Bacteria, Bacillati, Bacillota, Clostridia, Eubacteriales. The record is from Rfam.
GAUCGUAUCUCUGGAGACAUCCGUAAAAUCGGAGGCCGAAGGUGCAAUUGUGCGUCAGCGCAGGAAUCUCUCAGGCAAAAGGACAGAGAAAAAGAG